This 439-nucleotide ribosomal RNA is filed under the name uncultured bacterium. RNAcentral's name for it is "partial 16S ribosomal RNA". It matches the Rfam family "Bacterial small subunit ribosomal RNA", at positions 339 to 795 of the family's 1533-position model. The record is from RNAcentral.
CUACGGGUUGCUCCAGUGAGGAAUAUUGCACAAUGGGGGGAACCCUGAUGCAGCAACGCCGCGUGGAGGAUGACGCAUUUCGGUGUGUAAACUCCUUUUAUAUGUCAAGAAAAUGACGGUAGCAUAUGAAUAAGCACCGGCUAACUCCGUGCCAGCAGCCGCGGUAAUACGGAGGGUGCAAGCGCUACUCGGAAUCACUGGGCGUAGAGGACGCGUAGGCGGGUUGGAAAGUCAGGUGUGAAAUCCUACAGCUUAACUGUAGAACUGCACUUGAAACUUCUAAUCUAGAGUAUGGGAGGGGGAGAUGGAAUUAGUGGUGUAGGGGUAAAAUCCGUAGAUAUCACUAGGAAUACCUAAAGCGAAGGCGAUCUCCUGGAACAUUACUGACGCUAAGGCGUGAAAGCGUGGGGAGCAAACAGGAUUAGAUACCCGGGUAGUC